GAUGAACGCUGGCGGCGUGCCUAAUACAUGCCAGUCGAGCGAACGGACGAGAAGCUUGCUUCUCUGAUGUUAGCGGCGGACGGGUGAGUAACACGUGGAUAACCUACCUAUAAGACUGGGAUAACUUCGGGAAACCGUAGCUAAUACCGGAUAAUAUUUUGAACCGCAUGGUUCAAAAGUGAAAGACGGUCUUGCUGUCACUUAUAGAUGGAUCCGCGCUGCAUUAGCUAGUUGGUAAGGUAACGGCUUACCAAGGCAACGAUGCAUAGCCGACCUGAGAGGGUGAUCGGCCACACUGGAACUGAGACACGGUCCAGACUCCUACGGGAGGCAGCAGUAGGGAAUCUUCCGCAAUGGGCGAAAGCCUGACGGAGCAACGCCGCGGGAGUGAUGAAGGUCUUCGGAUCUCAAGACUCUGUUAUUAGGGAAGAACAUAUGUGUAAGUAACUGUGCACAUCUUGACGGUACCUAAUCAGAAAGCCACGGCUAACUACGUG
This 497-nucleotide ribosomal RNA is filed under the name uncultured bacterium. Its description in RNAcentral is "partial 16S ribosomal RNA". It matches the Rfam family "Bacterial small subunit ribosomal RNA", at positions 28 to 507 of the family's 1533-position model. The record is from RNAcentral.